Esox lucius (northern pike) is the source of this 1681-nucleotide long non-coding RNA. Lineage: Eukaryota; Metazoa; Chordata; Actinopteri; Esociformes; Esocidae. The record is from Ensembl.
AUUUCUUUAUUAUUAUAAUUUUUUGGGCAAUUUGAGAACCGGGGCUAUUCAUAAAAGACCCGGGGCUAUAGCCCUGGACGCCCAGGACUAACGACGCCACUGCUGUAUCGCAUUGUAUCGCAUUGUAGCCGAUUGCCAUUAUUAUUGUAUUGAUGUAUAGCCUACUGAGCUCACUUGCUCCGUAGCCCGUUCCCAGAUUGCAAAAAAUAUCCGCACGGCUUCUUUUUGCCGCCGGCCCUAAGCUGUCAGCUAUUGGAGCGUCCUGCUGGCGGGGAUGAAACGUUUGCCGCCGAAUACGUCACUCCCAUUUCUUGCGAGAUGCCGGCGGUCUGACUGCCUCAUUUUCUCUGGCGGUUGCCUCGAUCUAAUGGACCGCGGUGGUGCGGUAUUUAAAAGACGCUUUUAAAUACAAGGCUACUCUCAAAAUCGACCGGCCAUGUUGGUUUGGACACACAUUCGCAUCAGUUCGUCGCUCAAUCGCGAGUUACAGCCUGCAGCCUGCUAGCUAGCAAAGACAUCGACUACCAUUGUUUAAAUACCUUGGCCAGAGCAUAACCGGUUAUCUUCACCCAAGAGACCUACUGUUGGUCAAUCGUUUUGGCUUUAAAGGUAAAUGCAUUGUUAGUCACAAUGUCUAGUUACUGGGCCAAAAGGAAAAUAAUAUUGAAAAGAGUUGAGGGACAAACAGGACAUUCACUUGAAUCACUACAUGCUACAGAAGUUGCAUCGAUUCCAGAAAACCAGGAAAAUGUUGAGCCAUCUGUAGACUUCAGAGCUGAACCAGGUUUCUCCCCAGUAAUCCAGACUCCACUUCACAGAGCCAAGAGUUUGAGAACAACUCGUCAAGUACUAAGCUUUACACCACCAGCAGCAAAUUUAACCUGGCAGCAUAUGGGUGAAAACACUGGAGGAGAAAGUCAUCGCUUUGUUAUUGGCCCUUGGACGCCCCUGGCAUCUCGUGUACAGCAUAAGAUUUUCAGCUAUUAAGAUUUCCAGAGUCUCUUCUUGGAGUCUCUGGGAGGGGUGCUGGAAAGUGCUCCGACUGGGGACUCUAUUGUUCUACUGGGGGACUUCAACGCCCACGUGGGCAACGACAGUGACACCUGGAGGGGCGUGAUUGGGAGGAACGGCCCCCCUGAUCUGAACCAGAGUGGUGUUCAGUUAUUGGACUUCUGUGCUAGUCACAGUUUGUCCAUAACGAACACCAUGUUCAAGCAUAAGGGUGUCCAUCAGUGCACGUGGCACCAGGACACCCUAGGCCGCAGGUCGAUGAUCGACUUUGUUGUCGUCUCAUCUGACCUGCGGCCGUAUGUCUUGGACACUCGGGUGAAGAGAGGGGCGGAGCUGUCAACUGAUCACCACCUGGUGGUGAGUUGGAUCCGAUGGCGGGGGAGGAAGCUGGACAGACUCGGCAGGCCCAAGCGUAUUGUAAGGGUCUGCUGGGAACGUCUGGCCGAGUCUCCUGUCAGAGAGAUCUUUAACUCCCACCUCCGGCAGAGCUUCGACUGGAUCCCGAGGGAGGUUGGAGAUAUUGAGUCCGAGUGGACCAUGUUCUCCACCGCCAUUGUCGAAGCGGCCGCUCGGAGCUGUGGCCGUAAGGUCUCCGGUGCCUGUCGAGGCGGCAAUCCCCGAACCCAGUGGUGGACACCGGAAGUAAGGGAUGCCGUCAAGCUGAAGAAGG